GAUGAAGAGCGUAGCGAAAUGCGAUAAGUAGUGUGAAUUGCAGAAUUCAGUGAAUCAUCGAAUCUUUGAACGCACAUUGCGCCCCUUGGUAUUCCAUGGGGCAUGCCUGUUCGAGCGUCAUUUGUACCUUCAAGCUUUGCUUGGUGUUGGGUGUUUGUCUCGCCUUUGCGUGUAGACUCGCCUUAAAAUAAUUGGCAGCCGGCGUAUUGAUUUCGGAGCGCAGUACAUCUCGCGCUUUGCACUCAUAACGACAGCGUCCAAAAGUACAUUUUACACUCUUGACCUCGGAUCAGGUAGGGAUACCCGCUGAACUUAAGCAUAUCAAUAAGCGGAGGA
RNAcentral lists this unclassified non-coding RNA (336 nucleotides) under soil metagenome. Its description in RNAcentral is "partial contains 5.8S ribosomal RNA, internal transcribed spacer 2, and large subunit ribosomal RNA". The stretch from base 1 to 120 matches the Rfam family "5.8S ribosomal RNA", at positions 35 to 154 of the family's 154-position model. The record is from RNAcentral.